GAGAGUUAAACAGUACGUGAAAUUGUUGAAAGGGAAACGAUUGAAGUCAGUCAUACCAACGGGAAAUCAACCUUUUGAGUUUGGUCUCGUGGGUUUUGAAGAGUUUAAAAGCCUUCGGAUUUUCGAGAUUGGGUUCUUCUGGUGUACUUUCUCGUACGGUUAGUCAACAUCGGUUUUGAAUGUCAUAAAAUGACUGGAGGAAUGUGGCUUCGAUCUCGUAUUGAAGUGUUAUAGCCUUUGGUAGAUGUGAUGUUCAAGACCGAGGAUUGCAACGGAUACCCUUCUGGGCUAUUCGUCUGAUCUCUGAAACGUUGUCUUGAUGUCGAAAGCUUGCUUAUGAUGUUAGGGUAUUACGAUCAAAAGGUUAGAACGGAUUAAAUUCGUUAAGGAUGUUGACGUAAUGACUUUAAACGA
RNAcentral lists this ribosomal RNA (414 nucleotides) under uncultured Funneliformis. Its description in RNAcentral is "partial 28S ribosomal RNA". Lineage: Eukaryota; Fungi; Glomeromycota; Glomeromycetes; Glomerales; Glomeraceae. The record is from RNAcentral.